Micropterus dolomieu (smallmouth bass) is the source of this 1115-nucleotide long non-coding RNA. RefSeq lists it as uncharacterized. The transcript is spliced from 3 exons. The record is from RefSeq and is a predicted model, not a curated record. NCBI's taxonomy places the organism in Eukaryota, Metazoa, Chordata, Actinopteri, Centrarchiformes, Centrarchidae.
GGAUGAUUUACCCAUAAGCCAAUACAGCGCUAUUUCCAUGUGGUGCGGGCUAGCGGUGGAGUGACCUCAACAUGGCUUCUGGCAACGACAGGGGAGCGACCCUGUGCAGAGCAUUACCUAGCCACAACGAGGAUGAGGAUGAUACUGUUCCAUUGGAGAAAAUCAGUCUCGUCACUGGAUUUUUGAGAAAUCAUAGAAGUAUCACCAGACAUGAUGAAGUUUUGGGUCAGGUGGGAACUGCCAACAAGAUACGUCAAUGUUGAGGUUGUAACCUCAACUUAUCCAGUGGUUUCUCGCCUGCUUCUUCAAGUUGAAGCUCCCCAGCCACUACCAGACAAGAUUUUUCACCAGGACUUGAUGAUGGCCCUCAGUUCCAUACGUUCUGCCUUUGUAGGUGCAAAUGUCAUCAACUUCUUGCCCUCUUUUGAAAUGGAAUCAUUUAAAAUAGCUUCUAUUCCAUUUUCAGGCACCACCUUCACCUGUCGAGAUAGAUAUUUUGGAGUUGGUUUGGUAAUUGUCUUUGGCCUGGGUUUUUCUUCUGUUUUAUAUGUCCACUAGUACUGAAGUUAUUUUCAUAUUCUUAGCUGCUAGAGUACGUUUGUGAUGUCAUCUGCACCGCUGCAGUGCAAUGAGCUUGGAUCAUAUAAAGAUCAUCUCUUUGUGUUCCUACUCAAUAAAGAGAGAUGUGGCAGCUUUCUUGGCCUCUCUAGUUCAUUAAACUCAGACUUCCAUAGACAUUUAGUAGUAAUUAUUGAACAGUUUAUACAGUUAGUACAUGUUUAACAAAUUCAGAUGUUUAGGUAGACACCAGUUUCUCCAAUAUUACUGUUGCCCUUUUACAAUAUUCUGUUCUCUUAUCUUGCCUUAAGUAAGUUCUCAACAUAUUGGACAGUGUUGAAAUAUGUCCACCCCAAUCCAACCGUCAUAUUGCUGCAGGCAUCUGUGUUGUCUUGCAGUGCCAUCAUUUCCAGUUCCAAUCAGGGAUGUUGACCCUGCAAUGAGGCUCAUUUGUGUCGCCACUCUCCUCCUACUGAAAAUCUCGGGUUGGGGAUUCCCUGACAAAGACAUUUGUUUGUAUAAAAAUGAUGCAUAUUAAAUGUUAUUGAACAAAUUUA